GUGAAUCAUCAAAUUUUUGAACGCAAAUUGCACUCUUUUGGGAGAGUAUGCCUGUUUGAGGGUCAGUCUAUAAAAAUUGUCAUCGUUGCCGUUUUGCGGAGGCGUUCGUCGGUAUUUGGGUCAUUUUAAAUGCUUUUGAUUUAAGCGACUUAAAAUUUUCUUUUGGUUCCAUGAACGUAUCUAAGAUCUAUUUCUUUACAAGUUUAAGGUAUCGAUUCUUACUAGAUGUGAACAGCAUAUCGGAUCGUGUCCAUAAUAU
This 259-nucleotide unclassified non-coding RNA is filed under the name Glomeraceae sp. RNAcentral describes it as "partial contains 5.8S ribosomal RNA and internal transcribed spacer 2". The stretch from base 1 to 65 matches the Rfam family "5.8S ribosomal RNA", at positions 84 to 154 of the family's 154-position model. Lineage: Eukaryota; Fungi; Glomeromycota; Glomeromycetes; Glomerales; Glomeraceae. The record is from RNAcentral.